AGAGACUGUGGCUCCAUGGUAGAGCCUCUGUUUGGAAUGCAGAAGGACCCAUGUUCAAUCCUUGGCACCUCCA
RNAcentral lists this transfer RNA (73 nucleotides) under Sphaerodactylus townsendi. RNAcentral's name for it is "tRNA-Ser". It matches the Rfam family "tRNA". Rfam says of the family: Transfer RNA (tRNA) molecules are approximately 80 nucleotides in length. Their secondary structure includes four short double-helical elements and three loops (D, anti-codon, and T loops). Lineage: Eukaryota; Metazoa; Chordata; Lepidosauria; Squamata; Sphaerodactylidae. The record is from RNAcentral.